This is a non-coding RNA of Gossypium hirsutum (cotton), 45 nucleotides long. Lineage: Eukaryota; Viridiplantae; Streptophyta; Magnoliopsida; Malvales; Malvaceae. The record is from Rfam.
AUAACGGCGCUUAUAAGCGCCACUAAAACAAUUUACAGUGCUUUU